AGCGCCUCAUCCGGUCGGAUGAGGCUGGACCUCCUCCCCGAUAGGGAUCCAGGCUGCCCCGAACUCCUCUCUCUCUGAUUGUUAUUUUUUCUGAUUUUUUCUUCCGUCCUGGCUCUGGGGGGCUCUGGCAGGUGCUUUUGUUUUUUUUCUCUUCCGACGGUUGGUGUCUACAGCGGUGUUGCAGUUCAAGGCGUGUGGUUAUUUGUUUUCUUACUCAUUUGAAGGUGGCGCUGAUCUGGAUUGGUGCUACUGCCGACCUUUCCCUCUCUGCUACAAUUCCGGUGGACGUGCAGUUGGUGGAGGCUCCGAGCGGCUGCAUCCUCUUCGGUUCUGUGAUCAGCGUGGAGUUACUUGCGAGCGAAUACGGUUGCGACGCUGGUUACCAUAUUCUAGAGCUGCUGUUGGCGCCUGCAUCACGACUAGGUCUUCUUGAAUUUUUUGUUCUCACUAGAGUGCGGAGAAGUGGGUGCUCGUCAUUUGGUUGGAGUCUGCUGCGGCACGGCAAUCUACCACUCCUUCAUCGGGUUCUCCUUCAACUGGCUUCGCACGGUGCUAUGGAAACCCAGCUUGCAUAACGGUAGAGCCUUCGUCAACAGCGGGGUGAAUGUUUUGAGCAUCUAGGAUACUCUUACAUGCUGAUGCUUCUCAAUUUGGCAGCUUGUGCAUUCCAAUCCAAAAUGCGUUGACCAUUGGGGAAGUUGUUCACAUCCAAAAGGGGUUACUUGAGUCAACGUGUGCUUAACAGCGUCUAAAAAGAAAUUUAGCUUCCGAUUGUCCAAAACCAGAUUUGCAUCUAAAAUGCUUUACUGGAUCCAGUAACAACUGUUAAAUUGAUAUUUGGUUACUAAUGGUGGAUGCUAAGUAUUUGGUUACUUUUUAAGACCAUUGCAUGGUUUAGAUUUAUCUUAAAUAUUAAAAUUAGAUCAUGUGAAGUAAUAAAAUUAUAGGUGUUUCCAAGGGACAAUUUAGUUUAUAUCCAAGUAUAUGUAUAUAAUAUAUUCUUCCAUAUAAUACAAAAAUAUAAUUAAGAAUUCUGAUUCAA
Long non-coding RNA from Physcomitrium patens, 1042 nucleotides. RefSeq lists it as uncharacterized. The record is from RefSeq and is a predicted model, not a curated record. Lineage: Eukaryota; Viridiplantae; Streptophyta; Bryopsida; Funariales; Funariaceae.